Molecule: ribosomal RNA, 253 nt
Filed under: uncultured bacterium
Lineage: Bacteria
Description: partial 16S ribosomal RNA
Rfam family: Bacterial small subunit ribosomal RNA
Source: RNAcentral
UACAGAGGUCUCGAGCGUUAGGCGGAAUCACUGGGCUUAAAGCGUGUGUAGGCGGAUGCCUAAGUACCUUGUGAAAUCCCACGGCUCACCCGUGGAACUGCUUGGUAUACUGGGUGUCUUGAGCCACUUAGGGGCUACCGGAACAAAUGGUGGAGCGGUGAAAUGCGUAGAUAUCAUUUGGAACGCCAAUGGUGAAAACAGGUAGCUGGGAGUGUGCUGACGCUGAGACACGAAAGCCAGGGGAGCAAACGGG